Molecule: ribosomal RNA, 891 nt
Filed under: uncultured bacterium
Lineage: Bacteria
Description: bacterial SSU rRNA
Rfam family: Bacterial small subunit ribosomal RNA
Source: RNAcentral
CGGUGCUCAACGCCGUCGAGCCGUUGAAACUGGCGUUCUUGAGUGGGCGAGAAGUAUGCGGAAUGCGUGGUGUAGCGGUGAAAUGCAUAGAUAUCACGCAGAACUCCGAUUGCGAAGGCAGCAUACCGGCGCCCUACUGACGCUGAGGCACGAAAGCGUGGGUAUCGAACAGGAUUAGAUACCCUGGUAGUCCACGCAGUAAACGAUGAAUGCUAACUGUCCGGUGCGAGUGAGCGCUGGGCGGUACAGCGAAAGCGUUAAGCAUUCCACCUGGGGAGUACGCCGGCAACGGUGAAACUCAAAGGAAUUGACGGGGGCCCGCACAAGCGGAGGAACAUGUGGUUUAAUUCGAUGAUACGCGAGGAACCUUACCCGGGCUCAAACGCAGGCUGACGGGUCCCGAAAGGGGCCUUUCUUCGGACAUUCUGCGAGGUGCUGCAUGGUUGUCGUCAGCUCGUGCCGUGAGGUGUCGGCUUAAGUGCCAUAACGAGCGCAACCCCUGUCCACAGUUGCCAGCAGGUAAAGCUGGGGACUCUGUGGGGACUGCCGGCGCAAGCUGCGAGGAAGGCGGGGAUGACGUCAAAUCAGCACGGCCCUUACGUCCGGGGCGACACACGUGUUACAAUGGCAGGUACAGCGGGAUGCCACGGGGCGACCCGGCGCUGAACCCGAAAACCUGUCUCAGUUCGGAUUGGAGUCUGCAACCCGACUCCAUGAAGCUGGAUUCGCUAGUAAUCGCGCAUCAGCCACGGCGCGGUGAAUACGUUCCCGGGCCUUGUACACACCGCCCGUCAAGCCAUGGAAGCCGGGAGUGCCUGAAGUGCGUGAGCGCAAGCAGCGCCCUAGGGUAAAACCGGUGACUGGGGCUAAGUCGUAACAAGGUAGCCGUAA